GACGAACGCUGGCGGCGUGCCUAAUACAUGCAAGUUGAGCGCUGAAGGUUGGUACUUGUACCAACUGGAUGAGCAGCGAACGGGUGAGUAACGCGUGGGGAAUCUGCCUUUGAGCGGGGGACAACAUUUGGAAACGAAUGCUAAUACCGCAUAAAAACUUUAAACACAAGUUUUAAGUUUGAAAGAUGCAAUUGCAUCACUCAAAGAUGAUCCCGCGUUGUAUUAGCUAGUUGGUGAGGUAAAGGCUCACCAAGGCGAUGAUACAUAGCCGACCUGAGAGGGUGAUCGGCCACAUUGGGACUGAGACACGGCCCAAACUCCUACGGGAGGCAGCAGGAGGGAAUCUUCGGCCAGGGACGAAAGUCUGACCGAGCAACGCCGCGGGAGGGAAGAAGGUUGUCGGAUCGUAAAACUCUGUUGGUAGAGAAGAACGUUGGUGAGAGUGGAAAGCUCAUCAAGUGACGGUAACUACCCAGAAAGGGACGGCUAACUACGUG
RNAcentral lists this ribosomal RNA (497 nucleotides) under uncultured bacterium. RNAcentral's name for it is "partial 16S ribosomal RNA". It matches the Rfam family "Bacterial small subunit ribosomal RNA", at positions 28 to 507 of the family's 1533-position model. The record is from RNAcentral.